GAGCCAGAGAAGCAGAGACAGGUAAAGACAAUCAGCAGGGGAUGAAGAUGUCAAACACGGCCAAAGAAGAACUGUAAUGACAACCUAGAGGACUUCCUAAGUCUCUCAGGACUCUUCCAGGCAGUUGGAACUUGAGGGAUUUCAACAACUUCUUUGCUGCCUAGACCUUGAGGUCCUUCAUCGAGCCAGUUCCCGGGCCCCUUGCUGCCACACGGAUUUCCUUUCCUUGCUCUGCUGCCAACCCUGCUGGUUCUCUACAAUGAAUGAAGAAGGAUUUACAACAGAGGCUUCUGGCAGUGAGAAUAUAGAAUCUUACCCAGCAUUUGCUCUGAGCUUUGGACAGGGAGGUCUAAGUUUAUCUUCUAUAUUUGUCAUUUUUUGGAUGUUCCAGUUGGCACUUCCAAUACUCCUUUCAAAGGCAUCCAUCUCCUCGACUUCAAAGAGAGUUCCCCGGAAUGAAACCACUACACAGCAAAACAAUCUGGCCAUCUAAUGCUUCCACUGUAUUUGAAACUCAGCAUCAGUAUCUGUGUAAAAUUGAGCCCAGUGAGUCUUGGCUCUGACAAAACUUCCAGGACUUUACCACACGCCAAUGUAGUUCCUUUGCAAAGCUCCUGGUUCCCAAAUGGAAAUCCUGUCUUGGCUCUGUGGAGGUACUGAAGAGCCAUGAGCCAGAGCAGACCAGGGCCUGGAUGUGCUUUUGUUGACAUAAGUGCAUUGACUUGUGGAUAAAUUUUGCAUCGUCCAUGCCCAAAGUCAUAGUGAAGGCAGUGUUCAAGGACGUAUCCUAUCAGCAAUACAGACUUAGUACAGUCUUUUUCACUUCAAACAUUGGCACAUAGACUUGUACAAGAAAAAUUCGGGAUCCAAAGCAACAGUCCUGAGUCCUGGUCCCAAUACUUCAAAAAAGGCUUCAACUCUGACACUCAACUGUACUACCAAGGCUGGAGGACAAAGGCAUUUUGAGAUCUGUGCAAAGCUAGAAAGAAAGCUGUAUGGGACUUUGAGGAGGUGGGAUGGUAUGUAGAAUUUAGACUUUGACAGCAGACAAACCUGAGUUUCAAUCCUGGAAAUAUUCUUUACUGUGCAGUCUUAGAUUACGUUAUUAAAACUUACAAGCUCUGUUUUCUCAUAUGAAAGAUGGAGGGAAUAAUAUGGAUCCCAUUGCUUUGUUGUGAAAUUAACAAUAAUGGCUGGCACAUCGUAGGUGCUUUCAUUAGGAUUCACCAGAAAGAGAGAAACAAUAGUAGAUUAUAAGUAUAGAAAUAUAAUAAAAUAUGUAGAAUAUAUUUAUGUGUCA
This 1300-nucleotide long non-coding RNA is filed under the name Vulpes vulpes (red fox). RNAcentral's name for it is "lncRNA (ENSVVUG00000024267.1)". The record is from RNAcentral. Lineage: Eukaryota; Metazoa; Chordata; Mammalia; Carnivora; Canidae.